CCUACGGGCGGCAGCAGUGAGGAAUAGUGGUCAAUGGGCGCGAGCCUGAACCAGGCAAGUCGCGUGAGGGAAGACGGUCCUAUGGAGUGUAAACCUCUUUUGUCGGGGAGCAAAAGACGCCACGCGUGGCGUUCCGAGAGUACCCGAAGAAAAAGCAUCGGCUAACGCCGUGCCAGCAGCCGCGGUAAUACGGAGGAUGCGAGCGUUAUCCGGAUUGAUUGGGUUUAAAGGGUGCGCAGGCGGAAGAUCAAGUCAGCGGUAAAAUUGAGAGGCUCAACCUCGUCGAGCCGUUGAAACUGGUUUUCUUGUGUGCGUGCGAUGUAUGCGGAAUGCGUGGUGUAGCGGU
This 346-nucleotide ribosomal RNA is filed under the name uncultured bacterium. Its description in RNAcentral is "partial 16S ribosomal RNA". It matches the Rfam family "Bacterial small subunit ribosomal RNA", at positions 338 to 682 of the family's 1533-position model. The record is from RNAcentral.